AUUCCAGCUCCAAUAGCGUAUAUUAAAGUUGUUGCAGUUAAAAAGCUCGUAGUUGGAUUUCGGAAUGGGUCAGUUGGUCCGCCUCACGGUGUGUUACUGACUGGUCUGUUCUUCUUCGCAAAGACUGUGUAUUCUCUUCAUUGAGUGUGCUCAGGAUUUACGACGUUUACUUUGAAAAAAUUAGAGUGUUCAAAGCAGGCCUACCGCUUGAAUACAUGAGCAUGGAAUAAUGGAAUAGGACUUUGGUCUUAUUUUGUUGGUUUCUAAGACCGAAGUAAUGAUUAAGAGGGACAGUUGGGGGCAUUAGUAUUUCGUUGUCAGAGGUGAAAUUCUUGGAUUUACGAAAGACUAACAACUGCGAAAGCAUUUGCCAAGAAUGUUUUCAUCA
RNAcentral lists this ribosomal RNA (388 nucleotides) under Aglaura sp. Its description in RNAcentral is "partial small subunit ribosomal RNA". It matches the Rfam family "Eukaryotic small subunit ribosomal RNA", at positions 582 to 975 of the family's 1831-position model. Lineage: Eukaryota; Metazoa; Cnidaria; Hydrozoa; Trachymedusae; Rhopalonematidae. The record is from RNAcentral.